RNAcentral lists this transfer RNA (95 nucleotides) under Candida albicans L26. Its description in RNAcentral is "tRNA-His". It matches the Rfam family "tRNA". From Rfam's summary of the family: Transfer RNA (tRNA) molecules are approximately 80 nucleotides in length. Their secondary structure includes four short double-helical elements and three loops (D, anti-codon, and T loops). The record is from RNAcentral. Lineage: Eukaryota; Fungi; Ascomycota; Pichiomycetes; Serinales; Debaryomycetaceae.
GCCGUCAUAGUAUAGUGGUCAUUAUAAAUCGUUGUGGUGUAAAACACUACAAAUGCAAACCCGAUUAGACCCAAGUUCGAUUCUUGGUGAUGGCA